RNAcentral lists this ribosomal RNA (504 nucleotides) under uncultured Lachnospiraceae bacterium. Its description in RNAcentral is "bacterial SSU rRNA". It matches the Rfam family "Bacterial small subunit ribosomal RNA", at positions 1 to 507 of the family's 1533-position model. The record is from RNAcentral. Lineage: Bacteria; Bacillati; Bacillota; Clostridia; Lachnospirales; Lachnospiraceae.
GAGACGUUUGAGUCCUGGCGUCAGGAUGAACGCUGGCGGCGUGCCUAACACAUGCAAGUCGACGAAGCACGUCCCUCCGAGGCCGUUCGGGCGGAGAGGGCGAUGACUUAGUGGCGGACGGGUGAGUAACGCGUGGGUAACCUGCCCUAUACUGGGGGAUAACAGCUAGAAUGGCUGCUAAUACCGCAUGAGCGCACAGUCCCGCAUGGGACAGUGUGGAAAACUCCGGUGGUAUAGGAUGGACCCGCGUCCGAUCAGCUGGUUGGUGGGGUAACGGCCCACCAAGGCGACGAUCGGUAGCCGACCUGAGAGGGUGACCGGCCACAUUGGGACUGAGACACGGCCCAAACUCCUACGGGAGGCAGCAGUGGGGGAUAUUGCACAAUGGGGGGAACCCUGAUGCAGCGACGCCGCGUGGGUGAAGGAGUACUCCGGUAUGUAAAGCUCUAUCAGCAGGGAAGAAGCAAGACGGUACCUGACCAAGAAGCCCCGGCUAACUACGUG